AAACGCUACAUCUAUAUCUAUACCUAUCUAUACCUAUACAGUAAUCCCCAUGACUAAAUCCUACAUAUACCCAUCCCCUUAAUUUGAGGAGAAGUGGGGCCUACUUUUUUUUUUCUUUUUAACUUUUUUCAUUUUCUUUAGAUUUACUAAGGCCUAAAUUUUUUUUUUUACCCUUUUUUUUUUACCUCGUGGUUUUCCACCAUCUUUCUUAAAUUUGCAAAUUCGAACCUUUAUUGUGUUUCAUAUUCGGAUUCAAUUAAUUGAUUAAAAGUGAUAU
RNAcentral lists this long non-coding RNA (277 nucleotides) under Ananas comosus (pineapple). RNAcentral describes it as "long non-coding RNA (ACOM_LNC030120)". The record is from RNAcentral. Lineage: Eukaryota; Viridiplantae; Streptophyta; Magnoliopsida; Poales; Bromeliaceae.